This 503-nucleotide long non-coding RNA is filed under the name Panax ginseng (ginseng). Its description in RNAcentral is "long non-coding RNA (PGIN_LNC003270)". Lineage: Eukaryota; Viridiplantae; Streptophyta; Magnoliopsida; Apiales; Araliaceae. The record is from RNAcentral.
UGCAAUUGGGUGAAGUCCAAGCGAAGGCUCAAGAUGAGAAGAAGGCGUUUAGGGCCAAACGUCACAAGCUUCGUCACAAGAUAAAGGAACUCGAGGGACGAGGUCCUCUUCUGACUGAAGAAGUGCGUAAGCAGAUCCAGGCCGACUAUCGAGAGUCUGACGAGAUUAAUGCUGAGAUCAUGAAGGCUUAUUCCGAAGGCUAUGAAGAUUGUCGGGAGCGUGGUAAGGAAAAAUUGGCUGCUGCUCAGCUAGAUCCAGCUCUGAUCGACUCCGAUGGUGGAGACAGUGCUUGAAUGUCCUUUUUGCUUUUUUCUGAUAUUUUAUUGACUUGUGAAAAUUAUUUAUUUAAACUGUUUAUGUUUUUGGAACUAUUUGAAACUUUAUGUAAGGAUUUUGACAGGAUUUCUACGCUUGUGUAAUUAAUUAGUUAGUGUUAUGGACGAAUUUUGGUUUUGAACAGAUGAAUGAAUAUCUUAUCUUGUCAAUGAAUCCUUAACUUUCUU